Molecule: ribosomal RNA, 395 nt
Filed under: uncultured bacterium
Lineage: Bacteria
Description: bacterial SSU rRNA
Rfam family: Bacterial small subunit ribosomal RNA
Source: RNAcentral
AUUGAACGCUGGCGGCAUGCCUUACACAUGCAAGUCGAACGGCAGCGGACCUUCGGGUGCCGGCGAGUGGCGAACGGGUGAGUAAUAUAUCGGAACGUACCUUUCAGUGGGGGAUAACGUAGCGAAAGUUACGCUAAUGCCGCAUAUUCUGUGAGCAGGAAAGCAGGGGAUCGCAAGACCUUGCGCUGAUUGAGCGGCCGAUAUCAGAUUAGCUAGUUGGUGAGGUAAAGGCUCACCAAGGCGACGAUCUGUAGCGGGUCUGAGAGGAUGAUCCGCCACACUGGAACUGAGACACGGUCCAGACUCCUACGGGAGGCAGCAGUGGGGAAUUUUGGACAAUGGGCGCAAGCCUGAUCCAGCCAUGCCGCGUGAGUGAAGAAGGCCUCGGUUGUAAG